AGCAGCCGCGGUAAUUCCAGCUCCAAUAGCGUAUAUUAAAGUUGUUGCAGUUAAAAAGCUCGUAGUUGAAUUUCGGGAUUGGCGCAUCGGUCGUGCCUCACGGGGUAUGAACUGGUGCAGUCAAUUUCUCACCUUCUGGAGAACCGCGAUGUCCUUAAUUGGAUGCCGCGGGGAACCAGGACCUUUACUUUGAAAAAUUAGAGUGUUUAAAGCAGGCAUUUUUGCUUGAAUACAUUAGCAUGGAAUAAUAAAAUAGGACGGCAUGGUUCUAUUUUGUUGGUUUCUAGGACCACCGUAAUGAUUAAUAGGGAUAGUUGGGGGCAUUAGUAUUCAAUUGCCAGAGGUGAAAUUCUUGGAUUUAUUGAAGACUAACUACUGCGAAAGCAUUUGCCAAGGAUGUUUUCAUUAAUCAAGAACGAGAGUUAGGGGAUCGAAGACGAUCAGAUACCGUCGUAGUCUUAACCAUAAACUAUGCCGACUAGGAAUCAGACGAUGUUAAUUUUUAAUGUACUCGUUUGCA
Molecule: ribosomal RNA, 520 nt
Filed under: uncultured Entrophospora
Lineage: Eukaryota; Fungi; Glomeromycota; Glomeromycetes; Entrophosporales; Entrophosporaceae
Description: SSU rRNA
Rfam family: Eukaryotic small subunit ribosomal RNA
Source: RNAcentral